AGCGGGUGUAGUUUAGUGGUAAAACUACAGCCUUCCAAGCUGUUGUCGCGAGUUCGAUUCUCGUUACCCGCUU
Molecule: transfer RNA, 73 nt
Filed under: Streptococcus pneumoniae
Lineage: Bacteria; Bacillati; Bacillota; Bacilli; Lactobacillales; Streptococcaceae
Description: tRNA-Gly(tcc)
Rfam family: tRNA
About the family: Transfer RNA (tRNA) molecules are approximately 80 nucleotides in length. Their secondary structure includes four short double-helical elements and three loops (D, anti-codon, and T loops).
Source: RNAcentral